This 1019-nucleotide long non-coding RNA is filed under the name Coturnix japonica (Japanese quail). RNAcentral describes it as "lncRNA (ENSCJPG00005009852.1)". The record is from RNAcentral. Lineage: Eukaryota; Metazoa; Chordata; Aves; Galliformes; Phasianidae.
UCUGUCCCUUCCUCUCUUCCAGCUCCGCCAUGCCCCAGGGACGGUGUCAGCAGUGGCAAGCAAGAGCCGCCAGCAGCUCCCAUCCACGGUGCGUUGGGAGCUGGGUGGGUUCCACAAGGGGCUGCUGGAGUUUUAGGGUUAUGGGUAGGAGUUGGGUUGUGGCUCAUUGCUCUCCAUCCCCAGAGGUCAUCGUCCCCAAGGAGGAGGUCCGGGAGGUGGUGGCUCCUCAGCCUAUCCCACCUGAGAGCAGCACGGUGGAGGAUGAUGAUGGCGAUGAUGAUGGCGAUGAUGAUGACGAAGCAGACAGCAACCUGGCUGAGCCCUGGAUCUUCAAGAAGUGGUUUGGCCGCUCGGAGCCAGGACACAAGGAGGAAGAGGCUGGAGAAGAGGAGGAAGAGCCCGCUGAGAAACCUGAGGAACCAACAGCCAAAGUGGAGCUGAGGAAGGGCCAGGAGAAACCAGAGAAGAAAGAGGAGAAGGCAAAAGGUCCGGAGAAGGAGGAGAAAACUCGAGGCCCAGAGAAAAAAGAGGAGAGAAAGGAGGAGAAGGAGGAGGAGAAGGAAGAGAAGAAAGAGAAGAAGGAGGAGAAGAAGGAAGAGAAGAAAGAAGAGAAGAAGGAAGAGGAGGAGGAGGAGGAGGAGGAGGAGGAAGAGAAGGAGAGACCCCGUGGCCCAAAGAAGGAGGAGAGGCCCAAGGAGGGUCGCGCAGCCCCAGCAGAGAAGAGCAGUCGUCGGGAGCCACGUCCCAAGGACAGGACCCGCGAGGAGAGACCCCCCAGAGCCCCCCGGGCACACAGGGAUCCCGAGCAGCAGCACAAGAAGAGACGCCGUGAGGGGAAGGAGAGCCGGUGGGACAGGGAUGAGCACCGCAGGGAUGGUGGCAAGGGCAGCAAGGGCAGAGCUGAGCGCCAGGAGGGCGGCCGGAGGAACUGGGGGCUGCCACGGGGCGAGCAGCGGGGACGGAGGGCUGGGGAGACAACAGGGAGGGACAGGGCACGAGAGGGACGGCGGCGUGACUGA